RNAcentral lists this ribosomal RNA (532 nucleotides) under uncultured Conexibacteraceae bacterium. RNAcentral describes it as "bacterial SSU rRNA". It matches the Rfam family "Bacterial small subunit ribosomal RNA", at positions 8 to 526 of the family's 1533-position model. The record is from RNAcentral. Lineage: Bacteria; Bacillati; Actinomycetota; Thermoleophilia; Solirubrobacterales; Conexibacteraceae.
AGAGUUUGAUCCUGGCUCAGGACGAACGCUGGCGGCGUGCUUAACACAUGCAAGUGGAGCGACGAACCGGGGCUUGCCCCGGGGCAGAGCCGCGAACGGGUGAGUAACACGUGGGUAACCCACCCCGAUGAUUGGGACAACCCGGGGAAACUCGGGCUAAUACCAAAUGUGCCCAAAGACCAUGAGGUCCUUGAGUAAAGAUAGCUUCGGCCUUCGCACCGGGACGGGCCCGCGGCCCAUUAGCUUGUUGGUGAGGUAACGGCUCACCAAGGCGACGAUGGGUAGCUGGUCUGAGAGGACGAUCAGCCACACUGGGACUGAGACACGGCCCAGACUCCUACGGGAGGCAGCAGUGGGGAAUCUUGCGCAAUGCGCGAAAGCGKGACGCAGCAACGCCGCGUGGAGGAAGACGGUCUUCGGAUUGUAAACUCCUUUCAGUUGGGACGAAGCUCAAGGGGUUAAUAGCCUCGKGGAGKGACGGUACCUUCAGAAGAAGCCCCGGCUAACUACGUGCCAGCAGCCGCGGUAAUAC